UUUUCUAUUUCCUUUUUUUAAUUUUUUCCUUUCAAGAUUUUGGUUUAGAUUUAGCUUUUGCAUUGUCUAGAUCUCCCUUUCCUUCUAGCUUUUUUAAAUUUCUUUUCUUUUUUUUUUCCUUUUCAUUCAUCUUCAUGGCAAAAUAGCAGUCUCCUCCUCCUUUGACUUUGGAGCAGUAGUUGGUGCAAUUGCUUGAUGCUAUGCAAUUGUAGUUGAACAAUCAAACUCAAUUGAUGGUGGUAUUCAUAGGUACAGCUGCUUCUGCUUUUAGUGCCAAUCCUCGUGUUCGGCCGAAGUUCUUUCGUGGAAAUUAAGGAUGCUAUGUACCACUAGUUCAAUCACUUCACAAUGAUUGCUAUAUAUCAUUCUUGGGAUGAUGCUCG
Molecule: long non-coding RNA, 383 nt
Filed under: Selaginella moellendorffii
Lineage: Eukaryota; Viridiplantae; Streptophyta; Lycopodiopsida; Selaginellales; Selaginellaceae
Description: long non-coding RNA (SMOE_LNC000476)
Source: RNAcentral